Molecule: ribosomal RNA, 556 nt
Filed under: uncultured bacterium
Lineage: Bacteria
Description: bacterial SSU rRNA
Rfam family: Bacterial small subunit ribosomal RNA
Source: RNAcentral
CCUACGGGAGGCAGCAGUGGGGAAUCUUGCACAAUGGAGGAAACUCUGAUGCAGCGACGCCGCGUGGACGACGAAGCCUUUCGGGGUGUAAAGUCCUUUCGGCAGGAACGAUAAUGACGGUACCUGCAGAAGAAGCUGCGGCUAACUACGUGCCAGCAGCCGCGGUAAUACGUAGGCAGCAAGCGUUGUUCGGAAUUACUGGGCGUAAAGAGUUCGUAGGCGGUUCGCUAAGUUUGGUGUGAAAUCUCCCGGCUUAACCGGGAGGGUGCGCCGAAACUGGCGGACUAGAGUGUCGGAUAGGAAAGCGGAAUUCCUGGUGUAGCGGUGAAAUGCGUAGAUAUCAGGAGGAACACCUGUGGUGUAGACGGCUUUCUGGACGAUAACUGACGCUGAGGAACGAAAGCGUGGGUAGCAAACAGGAUUAGAUACCCUGGUAGUCCACGCCCUAAACGAUGCAUACUUGGUGUGAGCCAUUCAAUUGGUUCGUGCCGUAGCUAACGCGUUAAGUAUGCCGCCUGGGGAGUACGGUCGCAGGCUGAACUCAAAGGAUUGACGG